UUUUCUUGGUUUUAGCAGACCGUCUUUUGGCUCUCUCUCUCUCUCUCUCUCUCUCUCUCUCUCUCAUUCUAGGUGAAUUAGGGUUCUUAUUUUGAGUGUUAUACAGUGAUUAAAUGAUGGUGAAGUAUUUGUAAUAUUGUAAACUGUGAGAGAGAGGUGAUGUUCUGUGUUGUUUGUUCGUGAAUCUAAGUGAUUCCACUUAUGAACCGGUACGGGUUUUGGAAGAUCUAAGUGAUCAAGCUUGAUUCCUUGGUGGAAAGUGGUCUAAUUCGUGAUUUUUGUAGAAGAUAAGUCUUCGUGGCUCAGUCUUUGUGAUUUUUCUUGAACAUUUGUGUAAUCUUGUUGCCAAUUUUUGGCUAUAUAGUGCAAUCAAACUAAAUCAAUUUGUAAUGGAUGCUCAAUGGGGAAUUAGGCGUUAGAUGUGGUCGUCGAACCUUUGGGGCUACGGCCAAAAAAAUCUGUGUUAAUUUUUUUAAUUUUUGCACUUUUACUUUACUGUUUUUGAUGUAUGGUUUCAUAUCUUGGUUAAUGGUUGAAUGUUUCUCGACUUUUCACUGCACAUCUCUCCAAGGUGGUUGAACUAUUGGACAAUGUAUUAGACAAA
Molecule: long non-coding RNA, 604 nt
Filed under: Olea europaea (common olive)
Lineage: Eukaryota; Viridiplantae; Streptophyta; Magnoliopsida; Lamiales; Oleaceae
Description: long non-coding RNA (OEUR_LNC009063)
Source: RNAcentral